GAGAAUUUAGUCAAUGCUCGCCAGAGUGAACUAGCUACUGAAUCACAAAAUCACAGAUAGGUGCUUAUUGUGAUAACGUAAGGGAAAAAUUUGAUAUUACCUUACUAUAAGUGUUGUCUAAAUAACUGGUGCCAGAAGACUCGGUAACACCAGAAACGCGAACGUUAGUCGUCUUAAACAGGCGUAAAGGGUAAGUAGGCUGCUUUAAAUUUUUAUUUUUAUAAAAGCUAAUUAAUAAUUUUUGCUUAGUAAUAAUUUUUUGCCCCUGCGUAGCUGCUGCGCUAAUAACAAGCAAGUAGCUUCGGUAAGGGAUGAAUCAAGCUACAACUAAAAACUUAAAUUAAUAAAUUAAAUAAAGAUAGAUAUACUUAAAGCUAGAAUCAUAAUUGAGAUAAACCAAAUAAUACUUAAGUGUAAGGGUAAAAUCUAAAAAUACUAAGUAGAAUACUAACGGUGAAAACUUUUUAUCUAGGAGUGAUUGACGCUGAGGUACGAAAGUGAGAACAGGGAAUAGGAUUAGAUACCCAGUUACCUCUCACCGUCAACGAUGCAAUGGUAGUUGUUAGUAGUUAGUCUCGUUAGUAAAAUUAAUUCUCAAUUAAUUAAAUUAACUAGCGAAGCAACUUCAAUUAAAACUAGUGACGAUGUUAACGCGAUAACCAUUCCGCCUUGAGAGUACGGUUGCAAAACUGAAACCAAAAAAAUUAGUCGGUUCUCGGACAACGGAGUGAAGCAUGUUAUUUAAUCGAU
Molecule: ribosomal RNA, 750 nt
Filed under: Mallocybe leucoblema
Lineage: Eukaryota; Fungi; Basidiomycota; Agaricomycetes; Agaricales; Inocybaceae
Description: 16S ribosomal RNA
Rfam family: Bacterial small subunit ribosomal RNA
Source: RNAcentral